GUGAAGGUGUGUCGUGAGGCAUGCUGGAGGUAUCAGAAGUGCGAAUGCUGACAUAAGUAACGAUAAAGCGGGUGAAAAGCCCGCUCGCCGGAAGACCAAGGGUUCCUGUCCAACGUUAAUCGGGGCAGGGUGAGUCGACCCCUAAGGCGAGGCCGAAAGGCGUAGUCGAUGGGAAACGGGUUAAUAUUCCCGUACUUGGUGUUACUGCGAAGGGGGGACGGAGAAGGCUAUGUUGGCCGGGCGACGGUUGUCCCGGUUUAAGCGUGUAGGUGUGUGUUCCAGGUAAAUCCGGUUCACUUUAACACUGAGGCGUGACGACGAGGCACUACGGUGCUGAAGCAACAAAUGCCCUGCUUCCAGGAAAAGCCUCUAAGCAUCAGGUAACAUCAAAUCGUACCCCAAACCGACACAGGUGGUCAGGUAGAGAAUACCAAGGCGCUUGAGAGAACUCGGGUGAAGGAACUAGGCAAAAUGGUGCCGUAACUUCGGGAGAAGGCACGCUGACACGUAGGUGAAGUGAUUUACUCAUGGAGCUGAAGUCAGUCGAAGAUACCAGCUGGCUGCAACUGUUUAUUAAAAACACAGCACUGUGCAAACACGAAAGUGGACGUAUACGGUGUGACGCCUGCCCGGUGCCGGAAGGUUAAUUGAUGGGGUCAGCGCAAGCGAAGCUCCUGAUCGAAGCCCCGGUAAACGGCGGCCGUAACUAUAACGGUCCUAAGGUAGCGAAAUUCCUUGUCGGGUAAGUUCCGACCUGCACGAAUGGCGUAAUGAUGGCCAGGCUGUCUCCACCCGAGACUCAGUGAAAUUGAACUCGCUGUGAAGAUGCAGUGUACCCGCGGCAAGACGGAAAGACCCCGUGAACCUUUACUAUAGCUUGACACUGAACAUUGAGCCUUGAUGUGUAGGAUAGGUGGGAGGCUUUGAAGUGUGGACGCCAGUCUGCAUGGAGCCGACCUUGAAAUACCACCCUUUAAUGUUUGAUGUUCUAACGUGGACCCGUUACCCGGGUUGCGGACAGUGUCUGGUGGGUAGUUUGACUGGGGCGGUCUCCUCC
This 1057-nucleotide ribosomal RNA is filed under the name Salmonella enterica subsp. enterica serovar Enteritidis. RNAcentral describes it as "partial 23S ribosomal RNA". It matches the Rfam family "Bacterial large subunit ribosomal RNA", at positions 1250 to 2290 of the family's 2925-position model. The record is from RNAcentral. Lineage: Bacteria; Pseudomonadati; Pseudomonadota; Gammaproteobacteria; Enterobacterales; Enterobacteriaceae.